UCGAUCCGACAGGGGAGCGCACAGCGCUGAGAGUGCGGCCAUGCCGCAGACCCUCGUACCUGAUCUGGGUAAUGCCAGCGCAGGAAGUUCGGUCUUCUCCAGCC
RNAcentral lists this non-coding RNA (104 nucleotides) under Actinoplanes awajinensis. RNAcentral describes it as "TPP sequence". It matches the Rfam family "TPP riboswitch aptamer (THI element)". Rfam says of the family: Vitamin B(1) in its active form thiamin pyrophosphate (TPP) is an essential coenzyme that is synthesised by coupling of pyrimidine and thiazole moieties in bacteria. The previously detected thiamin-regulatory element, thi box was extended, resulting in a new, highly conserved RNA secondary structure, the THI element, which is widely distributed in eubacteria and also occurs in some archaea. Lineage: Bacteria; Bacillati; Actinomycetota; Actinomycetes; Micromonosporales; Micromonosporaceae. The record is from RNAcentral. RNAcentral also lists the same sequence under 1 other name.